CAGACCAAGGGGUUGAGAAUGUAGACAUUACUCGGUGCAUGUUUACUCUGCGAGGAACUGGCCGUGGCAGCUUUAUUGCUGGCAAAAGCGUGCAUAACCAGAGAAUGGAACGGGUAUGGAGAGAUGUUUGGACUGCUGUAACAUCAAGUUACUACAAUGUUCUCCACAGCUUGGAAGAGGAGGGAUUAAUUGACCUGUCUAAUGCUGUUCACCUAUUCUGUGUGAGAUAUGUUUUCAUCCCCAGAAUACACACAGAUUUGCAGCAUUUCAUAUAGAUGUGGAACUGUCAUCCCUUUCGAACGGAGGGAAAUUUGUCACCGAAUCAUCUUUGGAAUAUUGGGAUGUUGCAAGCACCUGUGUCAGAGCCUGAUUUUGCAGAGAUUUUGCAAGCAGAGGAAUUAUUCUUCCAGAAUCCACAGA
This is a long non-coding RNA of Carassius carassius (crucian carp), 420 nucleotides long. RefSeq lists it as uncharacterized. The transcript has 3 exons. The record is from RefSeq and is a predicted model, not a curated record. NCBI's taxonomy places the organism in Eukaryota, Metazoa, Chordata, Actinopteri, Cypriniformes, Cyprinidae.